Molecule: ribosomal RNA, 374 nt
Filed under: uncultured bacterium
Lineage: Bacteria
Description: bacterial SSU rRNA
Rfam family: Bacterial small subunit ribosomal RNA
Source: RNAcentral
AUACGUAGGUGGCGAGCGUUGUCCGGAAUUACUGGGCGUAAAGGGUGCGUAGGCGGAUAAUCAAGUCAGAUGUGAAAGUCCAUGGCUUAACUGUGGGAGUGCAUUUGAGACUGAAGAUCUAGAGUGCAGGAGAGGGAAGCGGAAUUCCUAGUGUAGCGGUGAAAUGCGUAGAUAUUAGGAAGAACACCAGUGGCGAAGGCACUUUCUGGACUGUAACUGACGCUGAAGCACGAAAGCGUGGGGAGCAAACAGGAUUAGAUACCCUGGUAGUCCACGCCGUAAACGAUGAGUAUUAGGUGUAGGGGACGAUAGUCUUCGGUGCCGGAGCAAACGCAAUAAAUACUCCGCCUGGGGAGUACGGUCACAAGACUAAA